CGUCAAUAUAGUGAAUGACUGACUGAUUUCCCUGCAAAGUACACCAUGUACAACGACUGUUACUUACUUUGAAAACAAAGCCUGAAAAAUACCUACCAAUUAGAAACUGGGUGCUGUGGAGGCGUUUUUUUGUGCAGGUCUAAUGACAUACUACGGAAGCAACAGGACCUAACCAGAGUGGGAAAUGUAGCUGUUCAGAAAACCUGCAUCUUUGUAAGUGAAGGCAGAGACAAAAAAUGCUGCACAAUUUGUUUGCUAAUUUGCAUAGCGGAUCUGGAUUUUAUCCUAACAACGACCCCAAAAUCAGCAAUAAGCUG
This is a long non-coding RNA of Stegostoma tigrinum, 317 nucleotides long. RefSeq lists it as uncharacterized. The record is from RefSeq and is a predicted model, not a curated record. The transcript is spliced from 4 exons. NCBI's taxonomy places the organism in Eukaryota, Metazoa, Chordata, Chondrichthyes, Orectolobiformes, Stegostomatidae.